AGAAAAGUAUUUCGGUGUCGAGGUCCGAUCUAACACGAACAAUAGAAAUUAAUAUUACAAUUUACUGUUAUUAUUAAGUCGGCGCCAUGUUAAUGGGUAGUACCGAGUGCUAUUAAUUAAUUGAAUUAUCGCGUUAGUUUUCGUAGAUUAGUAAAGAAAACUUAACCGAUAUGGUGUUGUGCAAUCAUCAAUGUGAAUUUGAAGAGUGAUUGGGGCGAAAAUUGUACUUAGGAUUAGGAUUACGAAAAGUGCUUUUUGGUCUUCCUUCCCUGAGCAGUAACAGAUACCUUCUGCAAUGCCUGUGCUGGCAGAGAAGAGAUGGUAGGACUGGUAAAGGACUGCGUUUGCUAUCACAACGUAAUGCUUCUUCGUCUUCCUUCUAUGAGCAGUGAUAGAGAUCAUCUGCAAUGCCCGUGCUGGUAGAGAAGAAAUGAUGGGACUGGUAAAGGAUUACGAUUGCCAUCACAACGUAAUGCUUUUCUGCCUUCCUUCCCUGAGCAGUGAUAUAUAUGGACCUUCUGCAGUGUCCGUGCUGGUAGAGAAGAGAUGAUGGGACUGGUAAAGGACUGCGAUUGCUAUCACAAGCUUUUUCGUCUUCCUUGUAUGAGCAGUGAUGGAGACACCUUUUGCAAUGCCUGUGCUGGUAGAGAGGAGAUAAUGGGACUGGUAAAGGAUUGCGAUUGCCAUUACAACGUUAUGGUGAGUUUUUUCAAAUAU
RNAcentral lists this long non-coding RNA (717 nucleotides) under Agrilus planipennis (emerald ash borer). Its description in RNAcentral is "uncharacterized LOC108732984, transcript variant X2". The record is from RNAcentral. Lineage: Eukaryota; Metazoa; Arthropoda; Insecta; Coleoptera; Buprestidae.